GCGGACAGAAGGGAGCUUGCUCCCGGAUGUUAGCGGCGGACGGGUGAGUAACACGUGGGUAACCUGCCUGUAAGACUGGGAUAACUCCGGGAAACCGGAGCUAAUACCGGAUAGUUCCUUGAACCGCAUGGUUCAAGGAUGAAAGACGGUUUCGGCUGUCACUUACAGAUGGACCCGCGGCGCAUUAGCUAGUUGGUGAGGUAACGGCUCACCAAGGCGACGAUGCGUAGCCGACCUGAGAGGGUGAUCGGCCACACUGGGACUGAGACACGGCCCAGACUCCUACGGGAGGCAGCAGUAGGGAAUCUUCCGCAAUGGACGAAAGUCUGACGGAGCAACGCCGCGUGAGUGAUGAAGGUUUUCGGAUCGUAAAGCUCUGUUGUUAGGGAAGAACAAGUGCAAGAGUAACUGCUUGCACCUUGACGGUACCUAACCAGAAAGCCACGGCUAACUACGUGCCAGCUAGCCGCGGUAAUACGUAGGUGGCAAGCGCUGUCCGGAAUUAUUGGGCG
RNAcentral lists this ribosomal RNA (512 nucleotides) under Firmicutes bacterium TH-S70. Its description in RNAcentral is "bacterial SSU rRNA". It matches the Rfam family "Bacterial small subunit ribosomal RNA", at positions 66 to 560 of the family's 1533-position model. The record is from RNAcentral. Lineage: Bacteria; Bacillati; Bacillota.